UUUGCAAGAACUCAGAGGCCACAGGGGAAAGGGAGUUCUUUGGAUAUGAGAUAAGGCAUGAAGCAGAUGUGGUUACAGUAAUUUUGGUAUAAUUCAUUGUAAGGUGAUGAUCUCUAGGAACGUCAUCACAGUGGAGAAACCUGAAAGCUCCCAGCAGCCAGCAAUGAAUGAAAGGUGUGGGCGGGGCUGCCAACAGGGUGGGGCCUGGUGAGCCAUGUGCCUGGGCUCCCACAUCACAGUGGGGGUGGGGGUGCCUCAUAGAGGAGACUCUGCUGAUUGGUUCCUGGGCACAAGGUUGGAACUCUGGUGGUUGGUAGGGCAACCUCCUUCAGUUGGUAGAAAGCAGCGGAAGGAGGAACUCCCUCUGUGCUGUCUUCUCCGCGAUCUCAGCUCUCAGGCUUGUUGUAUCUAGACCCAUUUUAAAUAAAGCAGGUUCCCUUAAGACCAGUCAUCUCAGGGGAGGCAGCUGAGGCGGGGCGUGAGCUGUUAGUGGGGUGCAGCCCCAUAGCCAGGGGCUGGCCCUGCCAGCGUGCCUGUGUUUGAAAGAGGUGAAGUGUUGAACUCUGCAGACUGGGAGGCAAGGGAAGGUCCAAGUUGCUGGAGAGGAGCCAACGUGCCCCAUGGGGAACACGCUGGGUUGUUUUUGCCCCAAAGUUCGCUGCAGGCGAGGUCUGCGUAGGCUGUCUGAGGAUCUGUCCUUCAUCUCUGACAUCAGUGAGGCGAUGGCAAGCAUAGGUGCGGGCCAAGACAGAAGGAACAUGUCCAACACCAGUGCCAGACCCAUUUGGGGCCCGAGCUGGCUGUGUGGGGUGGUGUCUGGCAGCUGCGAUGACAUCUAUAAGGCAGUGUCAAGCAUAAGUGCAGACCAAGGCAGAGAGGAGCAGAGGCCGGGCAGAGGGAUCAUGGAGCUCCCCAAUGCCAGACCCAAGCAGAGCCAGAAUGGGGUGCAUGGGGCAGAACCAAUAGAGUGGGAGGUGGUGGAAGCACCAGGCCCUACUGCUGUGGAGCCUGCCCUGUGGGAUUUGGGAGCCGGUGAGGGCCAUGACCUGCAGCACAUCAGCGACCAGGAGAUGCCCAAAGAUACUGCUUCUGACCAUCCAAGGGCAAGCACACUCUUCCUGAGAAGUGCAAGGAAAGAGGAGAAGCUUUCGCCUAUAUUCUGCUAUGUCACGGCCGUGUGAAUACAAAGAUCUGCAUCAAGAUGCUGCUGCUAUGACAAGGAUCAUCAGCAUGGAUUUCAUCAGGAUUCAGCAUACUAAUGCCAUCUUAUCUUAAAGAGAGAAAUUAGCAUUAUAAGGUCCUGGACUUGUCAGCUAUAAGGACUACAAAAUAUCACUUCUCCUGCUGAAAAAGACCAGCAAAAUUAGGAUUUUCUUUCUUCAUGUUUUUAUUAAAUAUUUAUUGUUGUUGUUGUUGUUGUUGUUGCUGUUGUUGCUGAUUAGGAUUUUCAUAGAGUGGAGACUUCUUCAAAUAACCACACUGUGAAGCUGGGUGAUGGUGGCAUGAACAGUGGGUGCCAGGUGCUACCUGCCCUUCUUGUUCCACUGAGUCCAGAUGGCAUUCCUAGGGCACCACCUUCUUGAACAACUCUUGGGGAGGAAGACUGUCACAUGGACACAGCACAUCCCAGUCCAGAGUCCACAGUCACCCGCAGUCCCAAGCAGGUGACAGUCUGAGCUGAGCUAGAAUUCAAAAAACUUUAGAAUUGGCUCCAGAUUUGUGAGAGGACCUGGGUUUGGAUCUCUGUCCAUGGAGGCACUGAAUGCACGAUGACCAGAAACAACAACUAUGGGAAGAGAGAAUGGCAUGGGGACAAGGCUGUCAUUACUCCAGGUACCAUGGGAGCUCAGGCCUGUUCAUCUAGUCUUUGGAGGGAAUCUGUGCAUGUGAAAUGACGCUCCCACAUCAUGGUUAUAAAUGGAGAGAUGAAAUCAGCUCAUCUUCCCCCAGGCCCACAAUGGUCAUGCCAAAACACAGAGGCUUGCUGUGUGGCCAGGCUGGAGCCCAGUGGUGAGAUCUCAGCUCUCUGCAACCUUUACCUCCCAGGUUCAAGUGACUCUCCUGCCUCAUCCUCCCAAGUAGCUGGGACUGCAGGCAUGAACCACCAACUCAGCUAAUUUAUAUAUUCUUAGUAGAGACCGGGUUUCAUUACGGUGGCCAGGACAGUCUUGAUCUCUUGACCUCAUUCUGCCUGCCUCCGCCUCCCAAAGUGCUGGGAUUACAGGUGAGAGCCACCGUGCCCAGCCUCUUGCAUUUACCAUUCACAAUAAAGCAGUUUGGAAUAUCCCACUGUUGAUUUGUGAUUUCCUCCUCCAAAUAUAAUCUGUGGCUCUGUAUACAUAAUUGAAUAUUUUUGUGUAUUGAUAUUUUGUGUCUGAAGAUGAAAUAUUAGAUGAAACAUGUUAAAACAUUUCAUGCAAAGCCUUCAGUGGUUGUAGAGUCUACUCUUUGGUGAAUACAUGAAUUAAUCUAUUUUAAAUAUUAAAAUUUUUAUUAGAUGUGAUAAUGAUAUUUUCUCUUUUAUCUUCAUUUGUUAGAUAGAGUUACUUACAUUCUUCCAUAAUUAAUGAUACUGUAUCUUAUAUUUGAUGUACAAAACUCCUAGAAUAUUUGGAAUUGAUCAUUGAAAUUAAACAGCAAAAUGAGAAUUGCUGAAACCUAGUGAUAAUGUACUCAUAAUGGGUUUAUUAUCUAUUAUCUCUAUCAUUGUUAAUUUUUAAAGUUUCCAUGGAAAACUAUACUAUGAACUUAAAAUUUUCUAUAAAACCCUUCGUGCCCUGCACUUUAGCUCCAAUGCAUAAUGAAUAAAGGAAAAUGGAUUCUCCUGUGGGAAUUCUGCUGGACUCUUCCUUUCUUUUCCCUUUAACCUGGGGGGAGCAUCUUGAGAUCACUAUAGGGUGAGGCGACAAUGAGUGGGGUCCCUAGAGCUGCCACUGGGAGGAGUGUUUAUGUGGAGAUGGGUUUUGUGGCCACGUUUCUUCCUUGGGUCUUUCUGGUUGUGAUGGUGGCUUUGGGGAUGGUUUCUGAGGAUCCUCUCAGAGGAGUCCUCUGCCUGUGGUGUCUCCCCUGGGGGAAGACCUAAGGAUAUCUGGAGAGGGAUUCAUAGGGUUGCCCCUGUGUGACAGCGGUGCC
Long non-coding RNA from Callithrix jacchus (white-tufted-ear marmoset), 3132 nucleotides. Lineage: Eukaryota; Metazoa; Chordata; Mammalia; Primates; Cebidae. The record is from Ensembl.